UACGGAGGGGGCGAGCGUUAUUCGGAAUUAUUGGGCGUAAAGGGCGCGUAGGCGGCCCGGUAAGUCAAAGGUGAAAUCCCUCGGCUCAACUGAGGAACUGCCUUUGAAACUGUCGGGCUUGAGGCCGGGAGGGGGUAGCGGAAUUCCCAGUGUAGCGGUGAAAUGCAUAGAUAUUGGGAGGAACACCAGUGGCGAAGGCGGCUACCUGGACCGGUACUGACGCUGAGGUGCGAAAGCGUGGGGAGCAAACAGGG
Molecule: ribosomal RNA, 254 nt
Filed under: uncultured bacterium
Lineage: Bacteria
Description: partial 16S ribosomal RNA
Rfam family: Bacterial small subunit ribosomal RNA
Source: RNAcentral